AUUGAACGCUGGCGGCAGGCUUAACACAUGCAAGUCGAGCGAGCGGCGGACGGGUGAGUAAUGUCUGGGAAACUGCCUGAUGGAGGGGGAUACAUACUGGAAACGGUAGCUAAUACCGCAUAACAUCAGAUGUGCCCAGAUGGGAUUAGCUAGUAGGUGGGGUAAUGGCUCACCUAGGCGAAGAGCCCUAGCUGGUCUGAGAGGAUGACCAGCCACACUGGAACUGAGACCCGUCCCAGACUCCUCCGCGAGGAAGCAGUGGGGAAUAUUGCACAAUGGGCGCAAUCCUGAUGCAGCCAUGCCUCGUGUGUGAAGAAGGCCUUCGGGUUGUAAAGCACUUUCAGCGAGGAGGCGUUACUCGCAGAAGAAGCACCGGCUAACUCCGUGCCAGCAGCCGCGGUAAUUC
Molecule: ribosomal RNA, 406 nt
Filed under: uncultured bacterium
Lineage: Bacteria
Description: partial 16S ribosomal RNA
Rfam family: Bacterial small subunit ribosomal RNA
Source: RNAcentral